RNAcentral lists this small RNA (2549 nucleotides) under Histoplasma capsulatum. RNAcentral describes it as "hypothetical RNA". The record is from RNAcentral. Lineage: Eukaryota; Fungi; Ascomycota; Eurotiomycetes; Onygenales; Ajellomycetaceae.
AGACAUCAUAGGCGCCGCCGGUGCGUCACGGUGUAUCUCGUCCAUCUCCAGAGCUUGCGGCAUUCCCCAUCGCUGUUAAUUCACCCAACUUCAGGGUUUCCUGGAUAUAAUCAACCUGCACGCUGGUCCUCUCCCUUGAGCUCUCCGUCCCCAUGCUCCAGGCCUGGCCUAACUUAUAGUUUGGCCCUAUUUACCCGCCCUAGGCCUUCCCAUAGCCAACCAAGGGCUUGGUACUAUCCGCCCUGCCGCUGCCUCUGCUUCGUCGCUUGCUUUUUUUUUUUUUUUUUUUUUUUAGAAGCGGGCUCAUAUUCACUGUCAAUUCCUAUCUCUGUUUCAUCUGAUCAUACCGUGUCUGCUCUUUGGUUAUCUUUCUCUUCUUUCUUUCAUCCUCUAUUUACCUCUAUUUCUCAUCUCCUCCUCACUUAUUGCAUAUAUUAUAUUUUGUAUUCAUCCGAUAUCUUCUUCCUCAUUCUGCCAGCCACCCGUCCUUCGCCCACAUUGGUCAACUUUCCUCCAUACCGUUCUGCUCCCGAAUACCCCGCCAACCCCAGCAAGCGCCAGCAAAUCGCACUAACGCUUUCUGGUGCUACUUUCACCGCCGGCUUUUUGUUGCGACACCCAGUCAGGGCACCUGACCAGCUCAUACAUUUGUUUCACCCCAUGCUCCAGCUCCGAGUGCACCGGCGUCAUUUCUCCUAGCGAACAUUUUCUCUACGCUUCAACGGGCUGGGAAGGUACAACGUAUCAGGGUUUUCCAGAAACAUGGAAUUGUCCGACGACGUUCAAGCGUCAUAUAUCAAAAUCAUCGAUUCUAUCUUAGCAACCAGUGACCUGAACACUAUCUCAGAAAAGCGCAUACGGAGAGGAUUGCAAGAUGCCGUGGACUACGAUAUCACCCCUCAAAAGGCGGCGAUCAAAGUCCUAAUCAUGCAGCGCUUCGAUAUCUUUGCGGAACAGAGUGAGAAGCAGGCAGAAUCAACUCCGGCGGUCAAUGGCCAUUCGUCGAAUGGGCAGCCCGACAUUCCCACAAUCGAGCCCAUCUCCCCCGCCCUGUCAACCUCCCCGCAAAAACGCACGCCAGAGCCGGAAAGCGUCUCGGAUUCCGGCGAUAAAUCCCCACCCAAGAAGAAGAGAAGGUCAAACCUGGUAGAUGCCGACGCGAUCUUUGCGGCCAAAUUGCAAGCGGAGGAGAACCUGCGCGCGCGCCCUACCAGGGGCGCUAAUUCGAGGAAGAUUGCACCUGUCAAGAAAAAGAAGCCGGCUACGAAAUCAAAGACAUCAAAGAAAGUGAAAGCGGAGGAUGAUUCAGAUCUAGAUGCGCAGGACUCGGAAUCCAAAAAGGAAGUAACGAGAACGGGUGGUUUUCAUAAACCCCUUGCGUUAUCUGCUCCUCUCUCUGUCCUCCUAGGCGGGGAAGUAACCCUUUCCCGACCCCAAGCCGUGAAGAAAGUGUGGCAAUAUAUCCGCGAAAACAACCUCCAAGAUCCCGCUGAUCGCCGGCAAAUCCGAUGCGACGAUCUCAUGCGAGCCGUCUUUAAACAGGACCGAAUACACAUGUUCACAAUGACCAAGAUACUCAACCACAACCUCUACAACCUUGACGAGUGAGGACAGAAUAUAGAGAAGAAAUUAUUCGAAAACUAACGUAGCCCCACGAACCAGAAGAAGAAAUUCCCUUUUUCUUUUAUCGGUAAUCCAUCAUCGCAAUCAUCAUCUUGAUCCGGCGUUUAAAUGACGGACAAGGGAGGGAUAUUUACACCGCGUAUUCUUGUUUCGUUUUCUUUUGUAAUCCGCCAUCGGAUUGCAAAUUGUGCUAUAAUGCCUGGAAGAUCUAAUAUCUUUUCAUCGUCUUUCCUUUUUUUUCCCUUUGUUUUCUUCGCUUCUCCAUUCUAGCAUUAAACAUCUAUCAUGCCAUAUUUUUGCUUGCGUCGCCCGCCGAACCUGAAACCCACAGAAGAAAAAUGCAAACCUCAGAACAGGUCAUCUCUCUCCCAUGAUAUUAUCACUCGAACCACUGAUUAUUUCCCAAUUCCCAAAGCCAGGGCGACCAAUCCAGCUAUUUUCAUGCAUGCUUCCCUCUCUCCAUUUACAUUUUCCUUUUAUCUUUAAAACAUUAUUAUCAUAUUUUCCAUAUUUUGCUCCAGCGGGUGGAGUUGGUUGGUGGGAUCCUCCCUUGUGUAUGUUUGUGCGUGCCAAAUUGAUAUGAAUCUGUUAAUUCACAUGUUACUUAUUCCGCGCGCCUUGAUAUAUAUUCGCGAUUAUCUUAUGCUUCGAUCCAAAUUUUGUCUUUUUUCUCCUUUCGUUCUUUUGGCUGCACUAUGUUCUCCCUUCGGAGAUUUCCAAUAUUGAGUUUUCUUGCUUCUCUUUUUUCCUUCUGCUGCUGCUCCUCAUGAUAUUCCCGAGAUAUUCGCAGCUCGAUUCCUUAUUUGUGCCAUUGGCUUCACUGUAACUCCCUUUUUAGCCAGGCGAUUAAUUAUAUUUUGAUAGUCUAAAUACGUCGACUAACUUCCGUAACUACCAUAGAAUAACAAAGGAAUUCUUCGAGCCAG